GUGGGGAAUAUUGGACAAUGGGCGAAAGCCUGAUCCAGCCAUGCCGCGUGUGUGAAGAAGGUCUUCGGAUUGUAAAGCACUUUAAGUUGGGAGGAAGGGCAGUAAGUUAAUACCUUGCUGUUUUGACGUUACCGACAGAAUAAGCACCGGCUAACUUCGUGCCAGCAGCCGCGGUAAUACGAAGGGUGCAAGCGUUAAUCGGAAUUACUGGGCGUAAAGCGCGCGUAGGUGGUUUUGUAAGUUGGAGGUGAAAUCCCCGGGCUCAACCUGGGAACUGCCUCCAAAACUGCAUGACUAGAGUACGGUAGAGGGUAGUGGAAUUUCCUGUGUAGCGGUGAAAUGCGUAGAUAUGCGGAGGAACACCAGUGGCGAAGGCGACUACCUGGACUGAUACUGACACUGAGGUGCGAAAGCGUGGGGAGCAAACAGGAUUAGAAACCCGAGUAGUCC
This 450-nucleotide ribosomal RNA is filed under the name uncultured bacterium. RNAcentral describes it as "partial 16S ribosomal RNA". It matches the Rfam family "Bacterial small subunit ribosomal RNA", at positions 354 to 796 of the family's 1533-position model. The record is from RNAcentral.